GCUCAAUCCUUCUGCUGGGUCUGCAAGUCACUGAAAUGGCAGCAGCUAAGAUAGGAUCAUCCCAUUCACUUCCUUACCCUUUAUCUUCCAUUUCUCUUCCUUCAAAACUGAAUACCAAGGAACUCACCCGGCACCACCAUCAACUAUGGCUACGACAGGGUCGAGCCCCAACAAGACGCAACAGGCAGGUGGUACGGGUCUCCCUGCAAGAACAUGUUUCGUCUUUCUAUCUUGUCAUGGAGCAGCUGCAGCUCCAUCACCAUUACCAUCAGAAUCAAGACUACUCCAUGUUUUUACUGGCGGAGAGCGUGGGUUACUCAUUGGCUAGCUACUAUACUUCUCUGGGUCUCUUUGUUAUUUCUGUUCCUGGCCUUUGGUCCCUUAUCAAGCGCUCUGUUAAGUCCAAGGCAUGUUAGCUAGUUCGAUCUUCUUCUAUUGUACUUCAAGAAUUUCUUGAUGGGUAUAUGUAUUGUAGGUUAAUUCUGCUUAGAAGUUAAGAAAUGAGUUUCUAUAUGCAGAUUGUGCAGAAGACGUUUAUAGGUGAAGGGGAAGGGAAGAAAGCACCGAACCAAGUUGCCGGAGAAAUUUUAUCUUUCUUUACUCGCAAUAAUUUUGUUGUCACUGGUAGAGGAGAGACCAUCACGUGAGUAUCUUUUUGUCCACCUAAAAUUUCAUGGUACACAAUGCUUGCUCUGCUGUAGAACCUGCAUAUUAUGCUUACAGUAUUUACCAUUAGGAGAUGUCAUAUUCAAAUUCAGCUGGUCUAAGUUGGGUAGAGAAUUUAUGGAAAUUCGGAGAGAGUAGCUCAGUCGUCUCUAGAGAUGUGAAGUCUCGAUUUCGAAUCCCAGUCGAGUCAAUUGUACCCAAAAAAAAAAGUGGGAGAAUUGCCUGUUGUUAUAACUGAAAGCACUAACGAGCCCUCUUGCUUCAAAUCUUAUUCAUGGAGAUCAAAAUAUAAGGUCUACAAUUUGUUUCUGUGCAUCGAGAGAAGAAAGAAGAAAAUGAGCCCUUACAAAAAUGGCCUAUUUCAAGAGGAAGGAUAUGAUUUUAUUAAGAUGAUAGUUUUAUGGGCCAAUGGCCACAUCAAUAAUCAUGGACAAAGCUUCACUUUAGAUGGUUUCUACUUAGUGUUUCCAUUUCAAUUGUAUGCAGUUUUGAAGGCAUGAUGGUUCCUAGCCGAGGCCAAGCAGCAUUGCUUACUUUUUGCACCUGCAUCAGCUUGGCAAGCGUUGCCCUUGUUCUUACUAUAACUUUUCCAGACUUUGGCAACAACUGGUUCUGGAUCACCAUUCUAAGUCCAUUGGCGUAAGUAAAGGCACUCUUUUGUGACAUUUGAGUUCUCUCAAAGACAUGAUAUCUAUAGCACUAAUGCUUUUAGAAUGGAACGCAGUGGCGCAUACUACUGGAAGCGGGCAUCAAGAAAGGAGCAGAUCAAGGUUAAAAUGAUCGUCGCCGAUGAUGGGACCUUAUCCGAAAUUGUAGUUCAAGGAGAUGACCAGCAAGUAGAUCAAAUGAGGAAGGAGCUUCAGCUUAGUGAAAAAGGCAUGGUCUAUGUUAAGGGCAUCUUUGAGAGAUAAGGAAACUCAAAACAUUGUUUCCCACAUGGUUGGAGCUUCACAUCCGUGCCAGUGCAGUUCAUGAACUAGCAAUCAGGAAACAAUUGUUCUCAGGCGUGAAAAUUUUGAGAAGCAUACAGUUAAUUCAUAACAUGCGACAAUUCAGAUGUAAUCAAUCACACCGUUUUGUGUUGGAAGGGUAAUUUCAUUCAAUAGACUUUCCAGUGAACCAAAAUAAAGGAACAUUUUCAAGGCGCA
RNAcentral lists this unclassified non-coding RNA (1814 nucleotides) under Hevea brasiliensis (rubber tree). Lineage: Eukaryota; Viridiplantae; Streptophyta; Magnoliopsida; Malpighiales; Euphorbiaceae. The record is from RNAcentral.